This 255-nucleotide ribosomal RNA is filed under the name uncultured bacterium. Its description in RNAcentral is "partial 16S ribosomal RNA". It matches the Rfam family "Bacterial small subunit ribosomal RNA", at positions 99 to 354 of the family's 1533-position model. The record is from RNAcentral.
CGGACGGGUGAGUAACGCGUGGAAAACCUGCCGUAUACUGGGGGAUAACACUUAGAAAUAGGUGCUAAUACCGCAUAAGCGCACAGCUUCGCAUGAAGCGGUGUGAAAAACUCUGGUGGUAUACGAUGGUUCCGCGUCUGAUUAGCUAGUUGGCGGGGUAACGGCCCACCAAGGCGACGAUCAGUAGCCGGACUGAGAGGUUGACCGGCCACAUUGGGACUGAGACACGGCCCAGACUCCUACGGAAGGCAGCAG